This 70-nucleotide transfer RNA is filed under the name Dipodomys ordii (Ord's kangaroo rat). It matches the Rfam family "tRNA". Rfam says of the family: Transfer RNA (tRNA) molecules are approximately 80 nucleotides in length. Their secondary structure includes four short double-helical elements and three loops (D, anti-codon, and T loops). Lineage: Eukaryota; Metazoa; Chordata; Mammalia; Rodentia; Heteromyidae. The record is from Rfam by way of RNAcentral.
GGGAAAGUGGCUCAGUGGUAGAGUGCUUGCUUUGCAUGCAUGAAGCCCUGGGUUCGAUUCCUCAGCACCA